This 271-nucleotide long non-coding RNA is filed under the name Mytilus galloprovincialis (Mediterranean mussel). Lineage: Eukaryota; Metazoa; Mollusca; Bivalvia; Mytilida; Mytilidae. The record is from RNAcentral.
AAUAAGAAAAGAUUAGUUUAAACAAUAUUUUAUUCAAAUAAAUUGAAUUGGAUUGGGCAACAGGCAUAGCCUAUGUAAGCCCUCUCCACAAAACAAGGUACAAUAUAUUACAUUCAAACAAAGCAACACAUACACAAACAUAAAGACAAAACAGAAUUAAUUUUUCAAAAAUACCUCUUAGCUGACUGGAAUGAUAUUUCAAAUAGUUAACUCAGAUCAAAAGUAUGACUAUUUUAAAAUGCUUCAAAUGUUAACUCAGAAAAAUUAUGAA